UGGGGAAUAUUGGACAAUGGGGGCAACCCUGAUCCAGCCAUGCCGCGUGUGUGAAGAAGGCCUUUUGGUUGUAAAGCACUUUAAGCAGGGAGGAGAGGCUAAUGGUUAAUACCCAUUAGAUUAGACGUUACCUGCAGAAUAAGCACCGGCUAACUCUGUGCCAGCAGCCGCGGUAAUACAGAGGGUGCGAGCGUUAAUCGGAAUUACUGGGCGUAAAGCGAGUGUAGGUGGCUCAUUAAGUCACAUGUGAAAUCCCCGGGCUUAACCUGGGAACUGCAUGUGAUACUGGUGGUGCUAGAAUAUGUGAGAGGGAAGUAGAAUUCCAGGUGUAGCGGUGAAAUGCGUAGAGAUCUGGAGGAAUACCGAUGGCGAAGGCAGCUUCCUGGCAUAAUAUUGACACUGAGAUUCGAAAGCGUGGGUAGCAAAC
Molecule: ribosomal RNA, 427 nt
Filed under: uncultured bacterium
Lineage: Bacteria
Description: bacterial SSU rRNA
Rfam family: Bacterial small subunit ribosomal RNA
Source: RNAcentral